Molecule: non-coding RNA, 158 nt
Filed under: Burkholderia sp. SRS-W-2-2016
Lineage: Bacteria; Pseudomonadati; Pseudomonadota; Betaproteobacteria; Burkholderiales; Burkholderiaceae
Description: Burkholderia sRNA 7
Rfam family: Burkholderia sRNA 7
About the family: Did not show any change in expression in iron-depletion and hydrogen peroxide (oxidative stress) treatment.
Source: Rfam by way of RNAcentral
GUAUUCUUUCGCGCAUGAACCGCAUCCAGUCCGAACUCCGACGUCGCCGCUCGCCGCUCCCCUAGGGACGCCGCUGGCUUCGUCACGGAUUCGCGCCGCACACCACUUCGGCGCAAGCUGUUCGAAUCAUGAAAGCCACGGCCUGCCGUGGCUUUUCU